GAUGAAGAACGUAGCGAAAUGCGAUAAGUAGUGUGAAUUGCAGAAUUCAGUGAAUCAUCGAAUCUUUGAACGCACAUUGCGCCCCUUGGUAUCCCGAGGGGCAUGCCUGUUCGAGCGUCAUUUCACCACUCAAGCCUGGCUUGGUGUUGGGCGACGUCCCCUUUGGGGACGCGCCUCGAAACGCUCGGCGGCGUGGCACCGGCUUUAAGCGUAGCAGAAUCUUUCGCUUUGGAAGUCGGGGCCCCGUCUGCCGGAAGACCUACUCGCAAGGUUGACCUCGGAUCAGGCAGGGAUAUCCGCUGAACUUAAGCAUAUCAAUAAGCGGAGGA
Molecule: unclassified non-coding RNA, 329 nt
Filed under: soil metagenome
Description: partial contains 5.8S ribosomal RNA, internal transcribed spacer 2, and large subunit ribosomal RNA
Rfam family: 5.8S ribosomal RNA (bases 1-120)
Source: RNAcentral